This 292-nucleotide ribosomal RNA is filed under the name uncultured bacterium. Its description in RNAcentral is "partial 16S ribosomal RNA". It matches the Rfam family "Bacterial small subunit ribosomal RNA", at positions 775 to 1067 of the family's 1533-position model. The record is from RNAcentral.
GGAUUAGAUACCCUGGUAGUCCACGCCGUAAACGAUGGAUACUAGCUGUAUGUCUACUUCAGGUAGAUGUGUGGCCAAGCGAAAGUGAUAAGUAUCCCACCUGGGGAGUACGAUCGCAAGAUUGAAACUCAAAGGAAUUGACGGGGGCCCGCACAAGCGGUGGAGCAUGUGGUUUAAUUCGAUGAUACGCGAGGAACCUUACCAGGGCUUAAAUGUAAUGGGACAGAUUCAGAGAUGAAUUUUUCUUCGGACUCAUUACAAGGUGCUGCAUGGUUGUCGUCAGCUCGUGCCG